CAGAAAACACAAUGUUUUAGGUCUGAAAAAUACAAUUCUACCCCCCAGGGGGAGAAAAGUUGGAAACGCUUCCGGUUAUGCGUGUCAUCCUUGCGCUAUUUGAAGGGCAUUCUUCUCUGUUCCAAAUGUUCUUAAUUUUUCCAAAUGUCUCCUCCAGUCAGAGCUUCAGCUUGUUUUAAAUAUGAGAAAGAGAGCAAAAUCCACCAAUGGAAGCCUAGCUUGUUCCAAAUGUUUUUACCCAAUCAUCGUCCUACAAAGUUCUAGUAACGUCAACACAUCACAAAAAUCUUCAUCUGGCAGCCAUUGAUUGAUCAUACCGAGUAUCUGAGGAGACCUAUCAAGCAAACAUGGAAACUCCAAAGUUCCGGUUCACGCCCUCACAGGAGUUGGUCCUCAAGGCCACACCUCAGGCAGUGAAGGUGGCCGCUGACGGCCCCCCUGCUUC
This is a non-coding RNA of Salmo salar (Atlantic salmon), 445 nucleotides long. The record is from RefSeq and is a predicted model, not a curated record. Lineage: Eukaryota; Metazoa; Chordata; Actinopteri; Salmoniformes; Salmonidae.